Molecule: long non-coding RNA, 1006 nt
Filed under: Ictidomys tridecemlineatus (thirteen-lined ground squirrel)
Lineage: Eukaryota; Metazoa; Chordata; Mammalia; Rodentia; Sciuridae
Description: lncRNA (ENSSTOG00000029328.1)
Source: RNAcentral
UAGAAAUCUUUCUCAUCCUCAUCCAGUGAAGAGGAUGUCAGUAGCUAUGGCUACCCACUUAAUCCAUCUCUGGAUAUUCCUUAUGGCUCACCAAAUGAUGAUUUCCCAACUCGUCGUUUGCCUACUCUUUCCUACCCUCAAAUGAAUAGUGGAAUGAAUAGUGGCCCCAAAUACCCUGUAGCUGACUCUGAAUCAGGGCAAUCUCCAUAUCCUUGGGUUCAGUCUGCUUCUGGCUCUCCCUAUGUGUACCAAGUCCCUAGUUAUUCCCCACCUCAAAUGAACGCUCCUGAAGCUCCCGCUGCGGCUGGUCCUUGGGCUCCCUCUGCUGCUGCUCCUCUGGUUCCUCACCAUUAUCCUCCUCCACCUCCUCCUCCUCCUCCACCUCCUCCUCCUCCUCCCCCUCCACCUCCUCCCUCCUCCAGUGUUUGAAUAGCGUCUGCAGCAUCUGCAGAUCCAUCUGGUCUAUCUUUAGAAUCUGAGGCUGUUCCAUCUAUGCCUGUAGCAGCUGAGCCUGCUGCAGAGUCACUUUCUUCAGAGUUGACUGCAGAUACUCUUUCUUCAGUUGAGCCCGGUGAAGUCACAGAUGCCCAGACUGCUGCAGCCAAACAUGCUGCAGCCAAACAUGCUGCAUCCCUGUCUCUUGCAGUCAAACAGUCUGAAGUCCAGUCUGCAGCCAAACAGGCUGCCUCCCAGUCUGCUGCAGUUAAAUAUGUUGCAUCCCGGCCUGCUGAUGUCCCGUCGACUGCAACUGAACUUACUGGUGCAGCUAUGCCUGACACCCAGUCGGCUUCAGCCAAAUCUGAUGGAGCUGAACGUGCUGUAGGCCAUUCUGCUUCAGCCAAACCUGGUGGUAAUAAGCCUAUUCUAGACAAACCUGAUAUCUCAGAAUCUCAACCCUCUCCUCUUGACCAGAGAAAUGACAAUUUCGACAGAAAUGAGUAACAUGCAUUUGUUUCUAGACUGGUGCAGAAAUCAAUGAAAUCUAAAAAAAAAAAAACUUUUUCAA